Molecule: long non-coding RNA, 906 nt
Organism: Gossypium raimondii (Peruvian cotton)
Lineage: Eukaryota; Viridiplantae; Streptophyta; Magnoliopsida; Malvales; Malvaceae
Exons: 3
Source: RefSeq, a predicted model, not a curated record
AGUAAUUAAGCACUAAAAGUGCUUUUGGGAGAGGAAAAGCUAAAAUUUUUAGCCUCUCCUCUUCAAGAAUGCUUUUGAAAAGCACUCCUGAAAAGGAGAAGCUAAAAAUUUCAACCAAAAGCAGUUUGUUUUGCACAACUUUUCUUCUAAAAGUGUUUUUAGAGUCAGAAGUGUUUUUUUUAAGCAAUGAAGAACUGGCCUUUAGGUUGGGAGAGAUUGAUGAACUUGGUCUCAAAGUUUCAGGUCUUUUCUCUUUCAAAUGCUUACAUGUUCACACUACCUAUAUCACUUGGGCUCAAGUAUGAAACUGUGAAUACAGAUAUGCAUCUAAUGUUGGACAUCGUUUCUUGAAGAACGGAAGCAACUUAGAUUUGAGGUUUUGCACCAUGAAAAUGUCAACUGGUCUUCUACUGGCUUCAGCAGGGGGUUGAAUGUCUUUGUAACAAGUUGGUCGAAUUUUUGGAUUGUGAAAGCAACAUGGAGGAUGAUCUUAUAUUGUUAACUCUUCACAUUGGUUUAUGAUUCGAAGAUUGUUCUUUUCGGAACUGUCCGAGGUUCAUAACAAUCACCAUCCACCUUCAAAAGACCAUGCCAGUGCCAAGCAAGUCAUUUUCGAACAUUAAAGAGCUAUUUUAUUCGGACUCAAAUGUAAGCGUCAGAUAUGAAUACAUGCUCAAUCAAGAAAAAAGGUGGAAGAAAGUCCAUUUCGAACACAUUGUAUUGCAGAGUUUGAAACUGAUUUGCUAAUGUGAUUGAAUUUCAGAUGUCGAUUCUGGGUUCUUAUUCCAUAUACAGAAUUUUGCUAGCAAUUUCAUUCCCUGUUUAAUUGUUAAUUUCUUGUAAGCUUAUGCCUAAAUUAGUCUCCAAAAAGUAGUUGACAUAGUUGGAGCUUUUAAGAACAUACGA